Molecule: small RNA, 346 nt
Filed under: Cryptococcus neoformans H99
Lineage: Eukaryota; Fungi; Basidiomycota; Tremellomycetes; Tremellales; Cryptococcaceae
Description: Cryptococcus neoformans var. grubii H99 hypothetical RNA
Source: RNAcentral
AUUUACGCCAAAUUUUUGUGUUCCUUAGUUCUCUUCUUUUUCGUUUGUUAAAAGUGUUUCUCCAUCGCUCAACACCUAACGUUGUUAGCUUUAUUGCCUUAUGCGCAUUCAACAAACAGCUUCCCGCAUAUCAGUAAAGUGAGACUUUCUACCCCUGUGUAGGUUCCGGAGCGAACACUGUUGGAGUUACGAGCUGUCGCAACGACGACGUUUAUACAGAAACUGGUAGUGCCUACAGAAAAGAAUAUGCUCCCUUCCCCCUCAUUUGAUCCCGCAACGUGUCUUUGGCUAUACCCACAACUAUGACUUUGAAUUGUUCAUGCAUGUACUUAUAACUAUCUGAUUC